This 253-nucleotide ribosomal RNA is filed under the name uncultured bacterium. Its description in RNAcentral is "partial 16S ribosomal RNA". It matches the Rfam family "Bacterial small subunit ribosomal RNA", at positions 524 to 776 of the family's 1533-position model. The record is from RNAcentral.
UACGGAGGGUGCAAGCGUUAUCCGGAUUCACUGGGUUUAAAGGGUGCGUAGGUGGGUUGGUAAGUCAGUGGUGAAAUCUCCGUGCUUAACAUGGAAACUGCCAUUGAUACUACUGAUCUUGAAUUUUCAGGAGGUAAGCGGAAUAUGUCAUGUAGCGGUGAAAUGCUUAGAUAUGACAUAGAACACCAAUUGCGAAGGCAGCUUACUACAGGAAUAUUGACACUGAUGCACGAAAGCGUGGGGAGCAAACGGG